RNAcentral lists this ribosomal RNA (1803 nucleotides) under Acanthomysis longicornis. Its description in RNAcentral is "SSU rRNA". It matches the Rfam family "Eukaryotic small subunit ribosomal RNA". The record is from RNAcentral. Lineage: Eukaryota; Metazoa; Arthropoda; Malacostraca; Mysida; Mysidae.
UUGAUCCUGCCAGUAGUAUAUGCUUGUCUCAAAGAUUAAGCCAUGCAUGUCUAAGUACAUAUCGUCUAAUGAUUAAACCGCGAAUGGCUCAUUAAAUCAGUUGUUGUUUAUUAGAGCUUAAACCACACAGGGAUAACUGUGGUAAUUCUAUAGCUAAUACAUACAUCUAAGCUUUGACCCUCUGGGAGGAGCGCUUUUAUUAGUCUAAAACCAAACUGUCUUCGGACUGUAAUUUAAUGUUGAGUCUGAAUAACUUUGCUGAGCGUAGGGCCAUUGAGCCAACGCCAUAUCUUUCAAGUGUCUGCCUUAUCAGCUUUCGAUUGUAGCUUAUGUGCCUACAAUGGCGAUAACGGGUGACGGGGAAUCAGGGUUCGAUUCCGGAGAGGGAGCCUGAGAAACGGCUACCACAUCUAAGGAAGGCAGCAGGCACGCAAAUUACCCACUCCCAGAUCGGGGAGGUAGUGACGAAAAAUAACGAUGCGGGACUCUUCCGAGGCUUCGCAAUCGGAAUGGGUUCAAUUUAAAUCCUUGUUCGAGGAACAAUUGGAGGGCAAGUCUGGUGCCAGCAGCCGCGGUAAUUCCAGCUCCAAUAGCGUAUAUUAAAGUUGUUGCGGUUAAAAAGCUCGUAGUUGGAACUGGGGUGCACGUGUGCUCCCUUUGAUUGACUUUCUAAUUUAGUGAGCGCGAAUAGUAGGUGAUACUGGAUGCUCUUAAUCAAGUGUUCUGGAAACCUACAUGUUUACUUUGAAAAAAUUAAAGUGCUUAAAGCAGGCUAAACGCUUGAAUAAUUGUGCAUGGAAUAAUGCAAUAGGACCUCGGUUUUAUUUUUUUGGUUUUCGGAACCGAGGUAAUGAUAAAUAAGAACGGACGGGGGCAUCCGUAUUGAGGCGUUAGAGGUGAAAUUCUUGGACCGUCUCAGGACGUGCUGGGGCGCAGGCUUCUGCCCAGUACGCUUUUAUUAAUCAAGAACGAAAGUUAGAGGCUCGAAGGCGAUCAGAUACCGCCCUAGUUCUAACCGUAAAUUUUGCUAAUUAGCGAUCCGUCUGUGUUAAUCCCAUGACAAGGCGGGCAGCUUCCGGGAAACCAAAGUGUUUGAGUUCCGGGGGAAGUAUGGUUGCAAAGCUGAAACUUAAAGGAAUUGACGGAAGGGCACCACCAGGAGUGGAGCCUGCGGCUUAAUUUGACUCAACACGGGAAAACUCACCAGGCCCGGACACUGGUAGGAUUGACAGAUUGAGAGCUCUUUCUUGAUUCAGUGGGUGGUGGUGCAUGGCCGUUCUUAGUUGGUGGAGUGAUUUGUCUGGUUAAUUCCGAUAACGAACGAGACUCUCGCCUAUUAAAUAGUCGUGGCAUUUUAUAUUUUUGUUGUGUCACGUAGCUUCUUAGAGGGAUAAGCGGCAUUUAGCCGCACGAGAUUGAGCAAUAACAGGUCUGUGAUGCCCUUAGAUGUUCUGGGCCGCACGCGCGCUACACUGAAGUUAGCAGCAUGUUAUCCCUCUCCGAGAGGAAGCGGGUAACCCUUUGAAAUAACUUCGUGAUAGGGAUUGGGGCAUGAAAUUGUUCCCCAUAAACGAGGAAUUCCCAGUAAGCGUAAGUCAUUAGCUUGCGUUGAUUACGUCCCUGCCCUUUGUACACACCGCCCGUCGCUACUACCGAUUGAAUGAUUUAGUGAGGUUUUCGGACUGUCCUCUUCGCGGUCUUCGUGACUGCUUAGGGCUGAGACGGAAAGAUUCCCAAACUUGAUUAUUUAGAGGAAGUAAAAGUCGUAACAAGGUUUCCGUAGGUGAACCUGCAGAUGGAUCA